UGAGGAAUAUUGGUCAAUGGGCGAGAGCCUGAACCAGCCAAGUAGCGUGCAGGAUGACGGCCCUAUGGGUUGUAAACUGCUUUUAUGUGGGGAUAAAGUGCGUGACGUGUCAUGCAUUGCAGGUACCACAUGAAUAAGGACCGGCUAAUUCCGUGCCAGCAGCCGCGGUAAUACGGAAGGUCCGGGCGUUAUCCGGAUUUAUUGGGUUUAAAGGGAGCGUAGGCUGUCUAUUAAGCGUGUUGUGAAAUUUACCGGUUCAACCGGUGGCUUGCAGCGCGAACUGGUCGACUUGAGUAUGCAGGAAGUAGGCGGAAUUCAUGGUGUAGCGGUGAAAUGCUUAGAUAUCAUGACGAACUCCGAUUGCGCAGGCAGCUUACUGUAGCAUAACUGACGCUGAUGCUCGAAAGUGCGGGUAUCAAACAGG
Molecule: ribosomal RNA, 424 nt
Filed under: Fusobacteriota bacterium
Lineage: Bacteria; Fusobacteriati; Fusobacteriota
Description: Fusobacteria bacterium partial 16S ribosomal RNA
Rfam family: Bacterial small subunit ribosomal RNA
Source: RNAcentral